RNAcentral lists this unclassified non-coding RNA (391 nucleotides) under soil metagenome. RNAcentral describes it as "partial contains 5.8S ribosomal RNA, internal transcribed spacer 2, and large subunit ribosomal RNA". The stretch from base 1 to 122 matches the Rfam family "5.8S ribosomal RNA", at positions 35 to 154 of the family's 154-position model. The record is from RNAcentral.
GAUGAAGAACGCAGCGAAAUGCGAUACUUGGUGUGAAUUGCAGAAUCCCGUGAACCAUCGAGUCUUUGAACGCAAGUUGCGCCCGAAGCCAUUAGGCCGAAGGCACGCCUGCCUGGGCGUCACACGUCGUUGCCCCCCCAUCUACUCCUUCGGGAUUGCGGGGGGCGGAUGAUGGCCUCCCGUGCGCCUCGUCGCGCGGUUGGCAUAAAUACCAAGUCCUCGGCGACGCACGCCACGACAAUCGGUGGUUGCGAAACCUCGGUUGCCCGUCGUGUGCGGUCGUCGCGCAUCGAGGGCUCGAAAAAAUUGCCGGGCUCCGGCUCGGCUUUCAACGCGACCCCAGGUCAGGCGGGGUUACCCGCUGAAUUUAAGCAUAUCAAUAAGCGGAGGA